Molecule: non-coding RNA, 93 nt
Organism: Panaeolus papilionaceus
Lineage: Eukaryota; Fungi; Basidiomycota; Agaricomycetes; Agaricales
Source: the annotation of a GenBank genome assembly
UCUCUGUUAGUAUAUCGGUUAGUACACGCGCCUGUCAAGCUGAAAACCAGCCAUUGAACGCGCGAAAGCUGGGUUCGACUCCCAGACAGAGAG